Daphnia pulex (common water flea) is the source of this 2849-nucleotide long non-coding RNA. RefSeq lists it as uncharacterized. The transcript has 4 exons. NCBI's taxonomy places the organism in Eukaryota, Metazoa, Arthropoda, Branchiopoda, Diplostraca, Daphniidae. The record is from RefSeq and is a predicted model, not a curated record.
GUUUAUUCUUCAUUUUUUUCCAUGACUUAAUCCAUUGGUAGAAAGUGAGUAAAGGAUGCUGAAAUUGAAUGCUGUUAAAGUUAUAUUUUAUCAUCAUCUAUGGUUUCCAAUUCCGAUAAGAAGCGCCACCAACAGUCCGAUUUUCUCCCGCUUUGGCUUUUGCUAUCUGGGUGAUGGUGAACUGGUGAGAACGAUUUGUCGACCAAGGUCCAUAGAAAAGCAUUCCAUUUGUAAGGCAAGUGAAGCGAACGUCGUUCAAGGCCUUGAACCAAGGUGUUGUCGUAGUGGCCGAUUCCGCCUUCGUACGGCUGGACGCGGGUCUCCAUUCCGCAAAUUCCAUUCUCGCAGACUUCGCUGUAGUCGCCCCACGUUCCGCCGGUGUUGCCGAGUCCGUUGAUUUCAUCGCCGCUGGAGCACUUGAAACGGAUGUCGUUUGCCGCCGUGUUGUCGGCCUCUGGUGCGGCAGGACUGACCCUCAACUGGAAACUCGUCAUGUAACCGCCGAAAGCGCAAGUCUGAAUCCCGUGAAAAUCUCGGAACUGCGUAAAUAUUUAACAGUGAAGGUGAAGUUGGUGAUGAAUUCAUCGUUGCAGAAGAGGACGAUGGUGUUGAGUGCCGUGUCGUCGAAUCGGGGAGUGGCCAGUUCGUUCUGGGUCUGGUAGCUGACGACUCGGGCGCCUUUUGGGCAGCGCUCCAACGGUCCCCAUUGGCCUUCCGUUUCUCCGUUGGUGACCGUGAUGACCUGUCUCGGCCGUCUCGUCGUCGUCGUGCUGGUUUGGGGAGGCGGAGUGGUUGGAACGAUUGAUGAUUCCAACUGGCAAUGACGCCAACGGCCAAGACCAACAGGAAAGUGAAUUUCAACAUUUUUAGUAGCGGCUGUCGUGACGAAACGCUGUAGGGAAUCUGAAUUGUUAACCGCAACAAGUUCUUUUCUGCUCCUCUUCUCCUGAUCCUUAAUGGCCACUGAGACCACCGAUAUCCGUAUCGCCGCCGUCUCCACCAUGUUCUGCGUUCAACCCACUUUCCUCGAGCUGCAGCAGCUGAUCGCCGGCGCCAUUUGGGAACGCAACCAAGAAGUUCUUAACUUCAUGAUGACCACCUUCGGGGUAAGUCCCAAUCAAAUCGAAUCAUAAAAACACCAGCAAAUUGUUUAACUAUUAACUAUGCCGAUUCCAAGAAUCCUUGCAUGCAGCAUAUUUGAACGUCGCUCGUUGUAAGAGCUCUGUUUUGAAACCCUUUUCUCAUUGUGUUUGCAUUCAACGGAUAAAUGCAUCGAAUCCUGACUGGUAUCUUUAAGUCCAUCAUCCUGUUCUCACCACUCCAAAUGGCUCUCCAUCUCUGGUUUCCGAUUUUGACCUUCGAUUAGCAGAAGAGUUAAUACGAAUGGUAAAUGGAACAAGAAGAAAAAUGCGGACAUUUUUUCGCGGGUAUGCGUCGCGUGUUCUGCACUAAGAACGGAAUUGUAGUAUUUGCUUCUAAAUCGGGUAUAUUUUAAAGCUAACCAAGCCCUCACUAAGCAUUUACUGGUUGAGAGGUAGUUUUGAUGGAGUUUUGGAUUAAGUUCGAAAAUAAUUCACGUUUGUUGUCUUUUUCUGGUCCUUCCUCCUUUUUCCCACAAUUAAGACCCAAAUUUAAGUAACUUGAUCCAUCAUGUGAUUCACGGUGCUUAUAGCUUUGAAUGCAAUCAGCAGUUUCCCAGAAAAUGGAAUGGUGUUUCAUAUUGGAAUUGACCCCUCCAAAAAAAAAGGUUCAGAGUGACUCGGUUAGAUCUAUGUUAUUCUGCGAUGUCGAAAACUAACAAAUAGACUUUCUUAUAUUGUAUUUUCAUAUUAGGUAUCUGAUUUAGAUAGUCAAAGUAUUUUCAAUUAUAAAAUUUGUAAAAGAACUAAGUUGAAAGGAAUUGUUUUAGUGUAAAUGAGAUAAAAUUGAUAAAAAACACUAGCUUAAAAAAUUAGAUACUUACAGACGCCGAUGGGUUAGUGGAUAAGGCAUCGGCGUCGGCGUUUAUCAGGAUCUGGUCGCCAGGGUGGCUGUUACUGGUUGGAACUCACGGUGCGAAGGCUUCAGGGGGGGUUGAAAGUUAAAAGUGGGUUGGAGCUGCUACUUGGCAACCUUCGGCAUAAGAAACCCGAUCCGUUGUAUGCAGAUUGUUCCUCAGACCCAAUCCGAUAACGUUUUGUUAGAAUUUAUAACAAUGUUUUUUUUGUUUUGAAUAAAAGAUGACAAAUGCGGGAUACGUCGUCACAUCACAAUCAAAGUCAGCUGUUCAAAACUUUAAAUAUGCAAAAAAAAUUCCAACCUAGAUUUCUAUUUUGCUAUUUAUUUUAGAUUUCUUUCCUGUUUAAGAGUCGAAAAACGUUGUUGUAAUUGUUUCGUAACGUAGAAACUCAUUUUUGGUGCGAGAGAAGAUAGUUGCUGAAGCUACACAAUAGCCAUAAUCGCACAAUAGCACAAUUCCAAUUAAUUAAUCAAGUUCGUCAUAAUUUCAAGUUUAAUUUAUUUAGCGCAUUUUUUAAAUUCGUUGAAUAAUUACGAUUUUUUAAAUGAAGGCUUAGGAAAAUAGUAUGAUUGAGAUAAAGUUUUUAAAAAUACUAGCUUCAAAAAUAAGAUAACUUUGGGCGCCGAUAGCCUAAUGGUUAAGGCGUCGGCGCCUACGUUGUCGGAUCUGGUCGCCAGGGUGGCAGAUACUGGUUCGGAACUCACGGUCACGGCUUUGGGAGAGGUCGGCUGCUGCUGUUAGUUUAGGAUAGGGUGUUAGGUUAAGGUAUAGGUUAGGGGUUAUAGGUCCUCAUCAAAGCCUGAACCGUUGCAUGCAGACUAUUCCUCAACAGACCCAUCCGAUAACGUUU